Molecule: non-coding RNA, 25 nt
Filed under: Mus musculus (house mouse)
Lineage: Eukaryota; Metazoa; Chordata; Mammalia; Rodentia; Muridae
Also listed under: 1 other name
Source: RNAcentral
AGGGGUACCUGCGGAAGGAUCAUUA